AGCUGCUGCCUCGGCGUGUUGCAGGAUCCCCCAGGCGUGGAGCGGGAGCAGUCCCGGGGCGUCUCUGGAAAACGCUGGUUAAUGUGUGCUGGAUGCUGGGCGGCACAGGGAAUGCAGAGGGGAGGAGCUGGAUAGCGGCAGAUGCUUCUGGCAGAUGUGGAGGGAGGAGAUCUGCAUGACUUCUGGGGCUUCCUUGGCAUCCCCUAUUUGCCAGGUCGUAGCAUUUGUCCUGGUGGCCAUUCUCACCAUUGUAUUUGCAAAAGGAUUAAAAAUUAAUAAAACCCCAAAUCCAAAUAAA
Long non-coding RNA from Haemorhous mexicanus (house finch), 298 nucleotides. RefSeq lists it as uncharacterized. The record is from RefSeq and is a predicted model, not a curated record. The transcript is spliced from 2 exons. NCBI's taxonomy places the organism in Eukaryota, Metazoa, Chordata, Aves, Passeriformes, Fringillidae.